Molecule: transfer RNA, 73 nt
Filed under: Patescibacteria group bacterium
Lineage: Bacteria
Description: tRNA-Ala
Rfam family: tRNA
About the family: Transfer RNA (tRNA) molecules are approximately 80 nucleotides in length.
Source: RNAcentral
GGGCCUGUAGCUCAUCUGGUAGAGCGCGGCAUUCGCAUUGCCGAGGUGAGGAGUUCGAGUCUCCUCAGGUCCA